CUACAAAGGAAAGCGCUUUCUGUUGUCAGAAAGAAGAGAAAGCGCUUCCCUUUUGAGGG
Molecule: microRNA precursor, 59 nt
Filed under: Homo sapiens (human)
Lineage: Eukaryota; Metazoa; Chordata; Mammalia; Primates; Hominidae
Description: Hsa-Mir-430-P16a_pre stem-loop
Source: RNAcentral